GUUGAACGCUGGCGGCAGGCCUAACACAUGCAAGUCGAAUGGUAACAGGAGACACCUUGCUGUUUCGCUGUCGCGUGGCGCGCGUGUGAGUCAUGUCUGUGACACUGCUUGAUGGCGGGGGAUAAUUCCUGGAAACGGUAGCUAAUACCGCAUAAAGUCGCAACACCAAAGAUGGGGACUUUCGGGCCUCUUUCCUGCAGAUUUUCCCGGAUGGGAUUAGCUAGUAGGUGGGGUAACGGCUCACCUAGGCGACGAUCCCUAGCUGGUCUGAGAGGUUGAACAGCCACACUGGAACUGAGACACGGUCCAGACUCCUACGGGAGGCAGCAGUGGGGAAUAUUGCACAAUGGGCGCAAGCCUGAUGCAGCCAUGCCGCGUGUAUGAAGAAGGCCUUCGGAUUGUAAAGCUCUUUCAUCGGGGAGGAAGAGAGGAAAGUUAAUACCUUCGCGCAUUGACGGUACCCACAGAAGAAGCACCGGCUAACUCCGUG
This 490-nucleotide ribosomal RNA is filed under the name uncultured bacterium. Its description in RNAcentral is "partial 16S ribosomal RNA". It matches the Rfam family "Bacterial small subunit ribosomal RNA", at positions 28 to 507 of the family's 1533-position model. The record is from RNAcentral.